GAUGAACGCUAGCGGCAGGCCUUACACAUGCAAGUCGAGGGAGAAACCCUUCGGGGCAGAAACCGGCGCACGGGUGCGUAACGCGUAUGCAACCUACCUUUCACAGGGGGAUAGCCCGAAGAAAUUUGGAUUAAUACCCCAUAAUAUUAUUGGGUGGCAUCAUUUGAUAAUUAAAAUUACGAUGGUGAAAGAUGGGCAUGCGUCCUAUUAGCUAGUUGGAGUGGUAACGGCACGCCAAGGCUACGAUAGGUAGGGGUCCUGAGAGGGAGAUCCCCCACACUGGUACUGAGACAGGGACCAGACUCCUACGGGAGGCAGCAGUGAGGAAUAUUGGUCAAUGGUCGGAAGACUGAACCAGCCAUGCCGCGUGCAGGAAGAAUGCCUUAUGGGUUGUAAACUGCUUUUAUAUGGGAAGAAUAAGGAGUACGUGUACUUUGAUGACGUACCAUAUGAAUAA
RNAcentral lists this ribosomal RNA (457 nucleotides) under Capnocytophaga granulosa. RNAcentral's name for it is "bacterial SSU rRNA". It matches the Rfam family "Bacterial small subunit ribosomal RNA", at positions 28 to 489 of the family's 1533-position model. Lineage: Bacteria; Pseudomonadati; Bacteroidota; Flavobacteriia; Flavobacteriales; Flavobacteriaceae. The record is from RNAcentral.